This 259-nucleotide ribosomal RNA is filed under the name Methylobacterium aquaticum. RNAcentral describes it as "partial 16S ribosomal RNA". It matches the Rfam family "Bacterial small subunit ribosomal RNA", at positions 1 to 282 of the family's 1533-position model. Lineage: Bacteria; Pseudomonadati; Pseudomonadota; Alphaproteobacteria; Hyphomicrobiales; Methylobacteriaceae. The record is from RNAcentral.
UUCAACUUGAGAGUUUGAUCCUGGCUCAGAGCGAACGCUGGCGGCAGGCUUAACACAUGCAAGUCGAGCGGGCAUCCUUGUGGUGUCAGCGGCAGACGGGUGAGUAACGCGUGGGAACGUGCCCUUCGGUUCGGAAUAACUCAGGGAAACUUGAGCUAAUACCGGAUACGUGCGAGAGCAGAAAGGUUUAUCUGCCGAAGGAUCGGCCCGCGUCUGAUUAGCUAGUUGGUGAGGUUACGGCUCACCAAGGCGACGAUCA